This is a non-coding RNA of Danio rerio (zebrafish), 227 nucleotides long. NCBI's taxonomy places the organism in Eukaryota, Metazoa, Chordata, Actinopteri, Cypriniformes, Danionidae. The record is from RefSeq and is a predicted model, not a curated record.
AUGAUUUGCACCAUCAGCCUGCCUGGUUGGCAUUUAAGUGUUCGUUUUAGUCUCUGAGCUCUUGCUUUGAGUUACUCAAACAGGAAAGAUGACAUUAUUGUGAGAUCUGCUCCCAUGCUGACGCGCGUUUUUCAUCUUUCUUUCAUCUCCACGGUUACAGCCAAGUAGCGCGUUGUUGCCACGCCAUUUUGGUCAGGUUUCCCAAGAGUUGAAGUGCAGGGGCCUGA